UGAGGAAUAUUGGUCAAUGGACGAGAGUCUGAACCAGCCACGUAGCGUGCAGGAUGACGGCCCUAUGGGUUGUAAACUGCUUUUGUUUGGGAAUAAUCGACAUUACGUGUAAUGUUUUGCAUGUACCAUUCGAAUAAGGACCGGCUAAUUCCGUGCCAGCAGCCGCGGUAAUACGGAAGGUCCAGGCGUUAUCCGGAUUUAUUGGGUUUAAAGGGAGCGUAGGCCGUUUGGUAAGCGUGUUGUGAAAUGUAGGAGCUCAACUUCGAGAUUGCAGCGCGAACUGUCAGACUUGAGUGCGCACAAGGUAGGCGGAAUUCAUGGUGUAGCGGUGAAAUGCUUAGAGAUCAGGAAGAACUCCGAUUGCGAAGGCAGCUUACGGGAGAGCAACUGACGCUGAAGCUCGAAGGUGCGGGUAGCGAACAGG
This 424-nucleotide ribosomal RNA is filed under the name Verrucomicrobiota bacterium. Its description in RNAcentral is "Verrucomicrobia bacterium partial 16S ribosomal RNA". It matches the Rfam family "Bacterial small subunit ribosomal RNA", at positions 355 to 776 of the family's 1533-position model. The record is from RNAcentral. Lineage: Bacteria; Pseudomonadati; Verrucomicrobiota.